Long non-coding RNA from Plutella xylostella (diamondback moth), 1227 nucleotides. RefSeq lists it as uncharacterized. The record is from RefSeq and is a predicted model, not a curated record. NCBI's taxonomy places the organism in Eukaryota, Metazoa, Arthropoda, Insecta, Lepidoptera, Plutellidae.
UUGCAUGUGAGUCAAUUUUGACAGUUACUCUGUGAAAGAAUGAAUGAAAACGAAAAAAAAAAACAAAUUGUCAUUAAAAUUCUUGUUGUCAUGGCCGGUCGGUGGAUUUUCAUAAUAAGUAACAACUUAUAAAGUUUAAAAACCAAUAUUAUGAGUUCCGCAACUCGGCCGUCGUACCGCCAGACGAAAUUACUUGUAGAAUAUCUAGAUAGUGACCCAGGAAUGGCCAGGGAUCUUCUUAAACCGACCUAGGGAAGAUAAAAUUAUGAAAAAAUAGCAUCAAUGGCCUCGACCUUUAAUGCGGGCGAAGGGUCUUGAAAAGAUGGACUCCGCUGAUAUGCCUAAAACUGAGGCAUUCCAUGGUAAAUGGCAGGAUCAUAACAUACUUAAUGUCGAGGUGCAGCAUCCUGAACCCAUCAUACCCAGGCCUGAACUAUCAAACCGCUCAGCUCAUCCUGUCAGCGUAGAUCCAGCCGCCGCAACCAAGUUGAUGUAGAAGUAGACAGAGUGAUGGUCAUAGAGGAAAAGCAGGUAGAGGCCUAACUGCUGACAGCAUGGGCUAAUGCCCUAAAGCCUAAAGGGGACCUUGCAGAAGCUGUCCGUGAUGGAGUCAAUAUCCUCAUAGAAAUUGUGCAAUAGUUAUCAAGAAAUAACAAAGUUAAGUGCAUCUAGUCCCAUAACCAUUGUCACUAGUUAUGGGUCCAGAUGCUGUUGUGCAGUAGUGGAUGAUGUGAUGAUUUAAGUAGAUUUUAUAUUAUUUUUCCUGUGACUAAAAUAUUAUUUCAUAUUAAUACCUAUCCUAUGUCGAAGUAUAUGAACAUUUUUGUUUUAAGAAAUGUUAAAUAAUAUUAUAGAAAGUGUUCCUAUGUUAAUAUGUUCCUUAUAUUAUUAAGUUUGCAAGUAUUUCAACAGUGGUGGUGAUAUUAUUAUUCUACAAAAGUAUGUCUGUAUGAUUAUUAUAAAGAUAAAGAAUUCUGAAAUUUACAUAAUGUUUUUAUUUUUAAAUCUUUUUCAUUAAGUAAUGAAAUAUUUACAAGAUACUAUAGUAUUUAGGCAUGUAGAUGUGCUGGAAGUGGUGGUUCAUCUCCAUAGUAAAUGGUGGAUCCUUCCACAAAACAGGCAUGUAGAUGUGCUGGAAGUGGUGGUUCAUCUCCAUAGUAAAUGGUGGAUCCUUCCACCAAACCGGGUGUUGUGGCUUAACGGGCUGCUCUAUUAUAUUCUCUGCGG